AACGCUGGCGGCGUGCCUAAUACAUGCAAGUAGAACGCUGAAGGAGGAGCUUGCUUCUCCGGAUGAGUUGCGAACGGGUGAGUAACGCGUAGGUAACCUGCCUGGUAGCGGGGGAUAACUAUUGGAAACGAUAGCUAAUACCGCAUAAGAGUAGAUGUUGCAUGACAUUUACUUAAAAGGUGCAAUUGCAUCACUACCAGAUGGACCUGCGUUGUAUUAGCUAGUUGGUGGGGUAACGGCUCACCAAGGCGACGAUACAUAGCCGACCUGAGAGGGUGAUCGGCCACACUGGGACUGAGACACGGCCCAGACCUCUACGGGAGGCAGCAGUAGGGAAUCUUCGGCAAUGGACGGAAGUCUGACCGAGCAACGCCGCGUGAGUGAAGAAGGUUUUCGGAUCGUAAAGCUCUGUUGUAAGAGAAGAACGAGUGUGAGAGUGGAAAGUUCACACUGAG
RNAcentral lists this ribosomal RNA (455 nucleotides) under Streptococcus mitis. RNAcentral's name for it is "bacterial SSU rRNA". It matches the Rfam family "Bacterial small subunit ribosomal RNA", at positions 32 to 473 of the family's 1533-position model. The record is from RNAcentral. Lineage: Bacteria; Bacillati; Bacillota; Bacilli; Lactobacillales; Streptococcaceae.